Molecule: long non-coding RNA, 331 nt
Organism: Mytilus californianus (California mussel)
Lineage: Eukaryota; Metazoa; Mollusca; Bivalvia; Mytilida; Mytilidae
Exons: 3
Source: RefSeq, a predicted model, not a curated record
GUCUGUGUUCAGUAUAAAAGAUACAUUCAAGUUUUAACACCAUGCUACAAUGACCCAGAGUUCAGAACAAAAUUCGUGAAAUGUGUCCAAGGUUCUUUUACAGGCUAUAGUCCAAAUACGUGUGGGUUUGUGGACAGCCUAAAAAACUGUGCUUCCAUGUUCCAGCAGUGUAAAGACGCACAAUAUGCAUUUGCUGUUCAAAAUAUGCUCGACAGAUAUGGUACAACACUAUGCAAUCUUCACAAAUUCAAUAUUGGAGCAAUUUAAUUUCAGCUCAAUCUUAUAUGAAUUUUGAUCUACCAUGAAUAAAAAUAUCUUGUAACACCGAGAA